This 891-nucleotide ribosomal RNA is filed under the name Triticum aestivum (bread wheat). RNAcentral describes it as "partial small subunit ribosomal RNA". Lineage: Eukaryota; Viridiplantae; Streptophyta; Magnoliopsida; Poales; Poaceae. The record is from RNAcentral.
AUGUUCAUGAGGCGCCAGUCGACAAAAACUGCUGCUGCACCGUCAACUGUUCCCACUAACUCUGACGCAAGUGGCCGACCAUCUCCGUCGGUUGCAGAUGUGCAAGCUAGAACAACAGGCAUCCGUACAUCAGGGAGUGAUGAGUUAGUAUCUGCCAGGACAACUGAAAUAUCGCCCACUCUUCUGGCAAUGAAGGAUGCUGCUGUGAGCCAUGCCACCCCAUCAGUAAGCGUUGAAGUGGACGCUCCCGAGACCAACCUAAGCAAGGAAGAUUCCUGCUCAUCUGACACUAAUUCCAAGCACAUGUGUGGUGGCACUCCUGUGUCCACGACAGAAGUGGCUGAGGCGGCAGUUCAUAAUGAUAUGCCAUCUACAGGUGAGAGUCUUGGCACAACAGCUCCAGCUCCUGGCGGUGCAGAUAUUGCUAAGGCGACUGUUUCGCGUGCUGGUCUUCCACCUAGGCGUCGUAGCCCCCGCAAGCAAUCAACAGACAUACCCAACACACCAGCUAUAGCUAGGAGUAGUAGAGAUGAGUCUGGGUAUGUUCCUGCGUCGACACUGUUCCCACCACCUGCCAAAAGCAAUGUUAUGGAGAAACCGGAAGACCGGAGUACAACUGAUGCAGGUGUCAAGCCGGGCACGAGUGAUGGAGGUGAACGUCCAGAGCAGACCGCGCCUUUACCCGUAGUGGAAAUCCCCAGCUUAAAUCUGCGCACUUCCAAGCUCCCAGUCAAUGUUGGUGUCCCCUAUAGCCCAAACAAGAAGAUUGUCAAGAAAGCUACGGCUGAUACCGCUGACAACACGCCCCACCCUACAAAUAAGCCCGACGAUUCUGCAGCAGCCGAUUCAGAUAUGUUUGUUGAUCUUUCACCCUUGGAUUCUGCCCCGUAA